This 253-nucleotide ribosomal RNA is filed under the name uncultured bacterium. Its description in RNAcentral is "partial 16S ribosomal RNA". It matches the Rfam family "Bacterial small subunit ribosomal RNA", at positions 524 to 776 of the family's 1533-position model. The record is from RNAcentral.
UACGUAGGGUGCAAGCGUUAUUCGGAAUUACUGGGCGUAAAGCGUGCGCAGGCGGCUUUGCAAGACAGAUGUGAAAUCCCCGGGCUUAACCUGGGAACUGCAUUUGAGACUGCAUGGCUGGAGUGCGGCAGAGGGGGAUGGAAUUCCGCGUGUAGCAGUGAAAUGCGUAGAUAUGCGGAGGAACACCGAUGGCGAAGGCAAUCCCCUGGGCCUGCACUGACGCUCAUGCACGAAAGCGUGGGGAGCAAACAGG